This 395-nucleotide ribosomal RNA is filed under the name uncultured bacterium. Its description in RNAcentral is "bacterial SSU rRNA". It matches the Rfam family "Bacterial small subunit ribosomal RNA", at positions 27 to 402 of the family's 1533-position model. The record is from RNAcentral.
GAGCGAACGCUGGCGGCGUGCCUAACACAUGCAAGUCGCACGAGAAAGGGGGUAGCAAUACCCCCGGUACAGUGGCGAACGGGUGAGUAACACGUGGGUAACCUACCCUCGGGUUCGGAAUAACCUGCCGAAAGGCGGGCUAAUACCGGAUGAAGACAUGAGGCCUUCGGGCCUCGUGCCCAAAAGCCGACCUCUUCACGAAAGUUGGCGCCUAAGGAGGGGCCCGCGUCCCAUUAGCUAGUUGGUGAGGUAACGGCNCACCAAGGCUCCGAUGGGUAGCCGGCCUGAGAGGGCGACCGGCCACAGUGGAACUGAGACACGGUCCACACUCCUACGGGAGGCAGCAGUGAGGAAUCUUGCGCAAUGGGCGAAAGCCUGACGCAGCGACGCCGCGU